This 201-nucleotide ribosomal RNA is filed under the name Salmonella enterica subsp. enterica serovar Senftenberg. RNAcentral describes it as "partial 23S ribosomal RNA". It matches the Rfam family "Bacterial large subunit ribosomal RNA", at positions 593 to 796 of the family's 2925-position model. RNAcentral also lists the same sequence under 1 other name. The record is from RNAcentral. Lineage: Bacteria; Pseudomonadati; Pseudomonadota; Gammaproteobacteria; Enterobacterales; Enterobacteriaceae.
GUGACUGCGUACCUUUUGUAUAAUGGGUCAGCGACUUAUAUUCUGUAGCAAGGUUAACCGAAUAGGGGAGCCGGAGGGAAACCGAGUCUUAACCGGGCGUUAAGUUGCAGGGUAUAGACCCGAAACCCGGUGAUCUAGCCAUGGGCAGGUUGAAGGUUGGGUAACACUAACUGGAGGACCGAACCGACUAAUGUUGAAAAA